Elgaria multicarinata webbii is the source of this 248-nucleotide long non-coding RNA. RefSeq lists it as uncharacterized. The transcript is spliced from 2 exons. The record is from RefSeq and is a predicted model, not a curated record. Lineage: Eukaryota; Metazoa; Chordata; Lepidosauria; Squamata; Anguidae.
AACUGGAAAGACAGGCUUCCAUUCUGAGGGAACAAGGUGCUAGGCUUGAGGCAGGAAGAAGUGAAGCAAGAGUAGCUUAAAGUGGGGGCGCAAUUGUCCUUUCUUCAGGUUCCACAAAUGGCUGCAGCCAAGAGGACUUUGGAGCACCGUCCCCAGAGAAGCUCACCUGAAGCAAACUUUCAUGUGUUUUUGACACAAGAUGACCUUUCAAUUUUUACAGGCCUACUAAACCUUUGUUGUCAGUGGUU